Molecule: ribosomal RNA, 242 nt
Filed under: uncultured Pseudomonas sp.
Lineage: Bacteria; Pseudomonadati; Pseudomonadota; Gammaproteobacteria; Pseudomonadales; Pseudomonadaceae
Description: partial 16S ribosomal RNA
Rfam family: Bacterial small subunit ribosomal RNA
Source: RNAcentral
CUAAGGAGACUGCCGGUGACAAACCGGAGGAAGUGGGGAUGACGUCAAGUCAUCAUGGCCCUUACGGCCUGGGCUACACACGUGCUACAAUGGUCGGUACAAAGGGUUGCCAAGCCGCGAGGUGGAGCUAAUCCCAUAAAACCGAUCGUAGUCCGGAUCGCAGUCUGCAACUCGACUGCGUGAAGUCGGAAUCGCUAGUAAUCGUGAAUCAGAAUGUCACGGUGAAUACGUUCCCGGGCCUU